Leopardus geoffroyi (Geoffroy's cat) is the source of this 1452-nucleotide long non-coding RNA. RefSeq lists it as uncharacterized. Lineage: Eukaryota; Metazoa; Chordata; Mammalia; Carnivora; Felidae. The record is from RefSeq and is a predicted model, not a curated record. The transcript has 2 exons.
CUGGGCUCCCUCGGCCCACGUCAGCCCCCGGCCUGCUAGUGGCAGGCCCAGAUUAGGGGAUGUGCCAAAUCCACUCGAGUCUUCCUUGAAUCCAAGGAGCAGAUGAGCAGAACGGGGCUGAACACAGCGGAGUACAGGAAAGAACUAUGAGGAGAGUCCCAGAAAAAAGCUUACCAGACCUCAUCCGUACCAGCAACGAAAGCAAAUAGGAUGUCACUAGGCAGGACAAAAAGCAGCUACGCUUCCUUUCAGAAACACUGAGCCAAAGCCACACUGAUUAUCAGCUGUCUGCGCAGUCGAUUUCAUUUGAGAACGUGGACAUCUCAGGAACCUUGCUGCUUUUUAUUUUCUUUUACAGCUGUCUCUGACAAGGUGGAACGAUACAUGAGAAAAACCAAAACUCAGAGGAGUUGGCUUAUAAUGUGUCAUUCCCAUAUUUUGACCCAUCUUUUCAAACGAAACUUGUGUGCUAUUGGUUCAUAAAUGGUCUAUAAAAUGAUGAAGCUGGAAAAAAAAUAAGGUUCAAGCCAACACACAGGGUAGAGGAAUAGGCUUAUCCACUGCUUUUUCUCUAAAAAUGGUACGGCUAGAACUACUUGAGGCUUUGUGGGACUGCUAAGCCACCAUAGGCCUGUCAAGGGUCUCCACCUGUUGAUUUUUAUAUUCAAAGGCUAUUCAGAUGCUCUUCAAAAAUGCUGAAAAUUAAAAGCCUGGAUUCUGUCCAACUCUUUGUUCUUCUAGUACACUAUUGUUCAAAAGAUGUUCAAUGACAACAAAUUAGAGAAAAUGUAUUCACUCAGUAGACCAUAGAUAUGGCCUACUAGUGCCAGAUGUCCCUGGGGAUAUGAUGAUCACGAAAAUUUUACAUUACUGUUAUCUGCAAAAAUUAUGAUGGACAUGUUCAUAAUCUUGAUUAUGGUGAUAGCUUCAUAGGUGUAUACAUGUCAUAACUCAUCAAAUUGUUUACUAUAAAUAUGUGCAAUUUAAUGGAUAUCUAUUUUACCUCAAUAAAGCUAUAAAAAAUCACCCCCUCCAACAACAACAACCAAAAAAUUCUUGGUUAUCAUGAAUCAUCGUGGUUUUUGAAAUCUUUCCAUGGGUAAAACAAGCCUGUGUAAGAAAUCUUUAAGACAAAAAGCUGUUCCACUGCAGUCUUUCUGUGUAGCUUAAUCCUGUUGUGUAAUCAGGGGGCACUUGUGAGAUUUUUUUCAAAUCUAUUGUUUAGGACCCCUUGAAGCCAUCAGAGAUACCAGAAGGGAAUUUCCCAGUUUUAUUAUAACAUGCCAAGAACACAGAAAGCUCUAACUCUAUAACAUUAAGUGGUUAUAAAUGGUACUGAAUAUUUGAGAAUUGUUCUGGUAGGGCAGUUUCAUACAGAAUUACACAGAAUAUGUUAUUUUCUUUCCCUGAGAAACACUCAUGAAAGUCAUCAUUAAAAAACUGCAAUAGCAA